This 495-nucleotide ribosomal RNA is filed under the name uncultured bacterium. Its description in RNAcentral is "bacterial SSU rRNA". It matches the Rfam family "Bacterial small subunit ribosomal RNA", at positions 903 to 1397 of the family's 1533-position model. The record is from RNAcentral.
AAAGGAAUAGACGGGGGCCCGCACAAGCGGUGGAGCAUGUGGUUUAAUUCGAAGCAACGCGAAGAACCUUACCAGGUCUUGACAUCUUCUGCUACUUCUAGAGAUAGAAGGUUCCCCUUCGGGGGACAGAAUGACAGGUGGUGCAUGGUUGUCGUCAGCUCGUGUCGUGAGAUGUUGGGUUAAGUCCCGCAACGAGCGCAACCCUUGACCUUAGUUGCCAGCAUUGAGUUGGGCACUCUAAGGUGACUGCCGGUGACAAACCGGAGGAAGGUGGGGAUGACGUCAAAUCAUCAUGCCCCUUAUGACCUGGGCUACACACGUGCUACAAUGGAUGGUACAAAGGGAAGCGAAGUCGUGAGGCGGAGCGAAUCCCAAAAAGCCAUUCUCAGUUCGGAUUGCAGGCUGCAACUCGCCUGCAUGAAGCCGGAAUCGCUAGUAAUCGUGGAUCAGCACGCCACGGUGAAUACGUUCCCGGGCCUUGUACACACCGCCCGU